GAUCUCCCCGUGCAGAAGCGGGCAUAAUAAUACAAGACGAGAAGACCCUUUGGAGCUUGAGAUGUAAGACCAACUAUGUCAAGAAACCCUAAAAGGAUUAAACUAAAUAGUAACUGGUCCUCAUCUUCGGUUGGGGCGACCACGGGAGACAACAAAGCUCCCACGCGGACUGGGGAAACCCCUAAAACUAAGAGAGACAUCUCUAAGUCACAGAAUAUCUGACCUAAUAGAUCCGGCUUCUGCCGAUCAACGGACCAAGUUACCCUAGGGAUAACAGCGCAAUCCCCUUCCAGAGUUCAUAUCGACAAGGGGGUUUACGACCUCGAUGUUGGAUCAGGACAUCCUAAUGGUGCAGCCGCUAUUAAGGGUUCGUUUGUUCAACGAUUAAAGUCCU
RNAcentral lists this ribosomal RNA (394 nucleotides) under Hatcheria macraei. Its description in RNAcentral is "partial 16S ribosomal RNA". It matches the Rfam family "Bacterial large subunit ribosomal RNA", at positions 2048 to 2597 of the family's 2925-position model. Lineage: Eukaryota; Metazoa; Chordata; Actinopteri; Siluriformes; Trichomycteridae. The record is from RNAcentral.